Molecule: ribosomal RNA, 253 nt
Filed under: uncultured bacterium
Lineage: Bacteria
Description: partial 16S ribosomal RNA
Rfam family: Bacterial small subunit ribosomal RNA
Source: RNAcentral
UACAGAGGUCUCAAGCGUUGUUCGGAUUCAUUGGGCGUAAAGGGUGCGUAGGCGGCGCGGUAAGUCGGGUGUGAAAUCUCGGGGCUUAACUCCGAAACUGCAUUCGAUACUGCCGUGCUUGAGGACUGGAGAGGAGACUGGAAUUUACGGUGUAGCGGUGAAAUGCGUAGAUAUCGUAAGGAAGACCAGUGGCGAAGGCGGGUCUCUGGACAGUUCCUGACACUGAGGCACGAAGGUCAGGGGAGCAAACGGG